Molecule: unclassified non-coding RNA, 1307 nt
Filed under: Stylophora pistillata
Lineage: Eukaryota; Metazoa; Cnidaria; Anthozoa; Scleractinia; Pocilloporidae
Description: uncharacterized LOC111344169, transcript variant X1
Source: RNAcentral
GGUUUUGCUUUGAUCAGUUUGGCCACAGGUGGUCUCGUCUAUGAGGCAAUACAGAAAUGGCUGAAAAGGAACGUAAGGGGUGCUGAUGAUGUAAAAGGUGGUCAACAGAAAGCUCGUCCUAGUGAUGCCCAGCUCAAACGAGAAGAGAUUCGGGCGCAAAUGAGGCAGCUUUUAGAGGAAUUUCACGGACGAUUUCAGAAGACAUAUCUCGCUCUUAAACUUAAGCACAGAAAGGAACUGUUAAAAGUUCGAAAGAACUUGCAUUUUGCUAGCGUAAACUUGGAAAAAAAACUCUCAAAUGAAAGCUGAAAUCGCGGACGACAACGGGAAUUGCCAUUAAUCUUGAGAGCACAUUCACUUUGCAAGUGGUUUUUGUUCUCAUCAGUAAACACGAUUUUCAGUAAAUAUCUAAAUGAAAAAUCAGGUAGUUUGGCUCUACGUCGUCCUUGUAACAAAUUGAUGGAAACGUUACCUUCUCGACGAGCAGUUUGAGGAAUUUUAAUUGAGAAAUUCCGAAAUUCUUUCUCUUAAACCGCGCAGCGAAAAAUAAAGGCUGAAAACGAAGCAACCAGCCAGUAAAAACUGAACGUAAAUAUAAAAUUUGAUAAUGUCAGGAAAAAAAAACCUUUGUCGUUACUUUUGGCGUUCAAAGAUUUUGAUUUGGCAGAGGCCUUUGGUCUGGAGGAGAGAACACCGGGCACUCACCCCGUGUGGCGCCAUUUUACAGGACGGCAAAAUGUUUCACUUUUCUAUGGGUAUACGGGCAAAUAUAGAAUAGAUUUUUGACCUAUCAGAGCGCACGUUGUGCGAUAACUGUGGAAAAUAUACAAUCCUUGGCUUAUGAUAAAAGAAGUUUGGAAAAUUAAUAAAGGGAAGGAAGAGAGGGCAUUCGCUUUUUGCAAUUCUUAACAGUCUUGUUUUCUAAUGCGAGAUGUGUUUCAGGUGAUUUAUUUUUUUUUUCUUCUGUUGGAGCAACAUGAAUGCAGUCAAAUAAAUUUGUCUGCCGUCAGACAACAAACAUCUUAUUAAAGCUUAAAACCUGAGCUGUCUUGGGUCAGACUUCGGACGGUUUCCUAGUAGGAUUGUCACAAAUAGAUUUUGCCUUUUGGUUUUGCAGGAUAAAUGCAUUAGAUCUUGAGAGUGUUAUCAAUUAGCAAAUAAAAGGAGCAAACAAAUAGACAUAACAAGUUUCCCCUUCAGGAAAACGUCUAUACCCUUUGCCCCCCCAAGAGUGACUUGCUUCCUUACAAAACAGCCCCGGCUACUUUUCGAGCGCCUCACUUAUAGUAUGACGCUCCAGCGGCGCA